RNAcentral lists this long non-coding RNA (490 nucleotides) under Ananas comosus (pineapple). RNAcentral describes it as "long non-coding RNA (ACOM_LNC036732)". The record is from RNAcentral. Lineage: Eukaryota; Viridiplantae; Streptophyta; Magnoliopsida; Poales; Bromeliaceae.
AGUUAGUUACUUCACAAUUCUAGCUAAGUUUGUUUAGAUAUUCACUUUUUUACUUUUCCCCCUGCCUUUUAAAAAUCUAUAUUUUAUUUCUUUAAAAUUUCAGAAAUAUUUUCAGGAGGAUACGAAGUUAAUGGAGAUGACAAAAUGACCAAAUUUCCUUUACACCUUCUAUAAAAAAAUAAUUUUAAAAUAUAUAUCUGCCAUUUUGAAGGGCAUUUUUGAUAUAAAUUAUACGAAAUGGACAGAAGAGGGAUGAAACUCUAACAAAGAAGGGCUAAAUGCAACAAUUUGAAAUGUUGAUGAGGUAAAAUAUAGGUUUCUGAAAGUUAAGAAGGAAAAGUGAAAAAAUGGGUAUUUUAUUUAUAAGAAGUUUUUUUUUGUAAUUUAGCCUUAAUAUUAAAUUUUUUGAAUAAAAUAAAGAUAAACUCAUAUUUAAACAUAAUUUUUUGAACCACAAGAUGAUAAAGUGAAAAAUAAACUAAACCGCCGU